AUGUGCCCUCAGGGGUGGCUCCUCCAAGCUCUGGGUCACAAGGUCACAUCUACCAGCUUGGCUGUUCCCCUGUGCGGUUUCAGACACAGCCCAUGUCCCAAGUGCAAGGGCAUUGUGAGCCCGAAUAACCAUGACCCUGCUCCCUCCCCAGCACCUGAUGCCAGUCGGCCUGUGGCCGGGAGAAGGAUGCUCUGUUAUCAGCAGAGUGAUGGUCAGGCUGCUCAGAUUCAGGUAAUGGAGUCCGGUCCCAGGGGACUUUCACAUCUGCUUAAAAUAUUGUCCAAUAAAAUGAAAUUCCUCAGCAGAUCCUGAGCAGCUUGGGGCAGGCAGGGCUUUCCUGAACCUGCCUCGGCCACCUUUGGGGGAAGGAUGGGGCAGUGAUUCCAGCAGUGGAGCCAGGAGGAGUCCCACAACGGGUUCCAGCUGGGCUCCUUGGGACCGGGCAAUCAGCUCACCUGUGCUGACUCUCACUCUGGGUGCCCCAGUAGAGAAGCAGCCUCCAUGCUGGGCUGCCAUCAGAUAACUUCUCUGAUUCUCUGGCCUCCCCGCCAGGCCGCAGAUAAGCUGCCAGGCACCCUCUCUGGGUCCUGAGCAGAACCGGGGUCCAGGCAACCUUACCCACCUGGCUGGGGUGGAGCCGACUGAGGGCUGAGGCCAGGCAGGCCCCUGGCCUGGUGUGGGCCUCUGGGAAGUUUCCCGGGGCAGCGCAGGGGUGCGCUAAACCAGCCUCUCGCUUCCAGCGAAGGCCAGGCCAGCCCAGCGGCUUUACUCUUUCUUGCUCCUGCUUUGGGCCCUUCCUCUGUGAGGGCCUGACCAGCGCAGUCUGCAGCCAGGGUCCAGACUUGCAGAAAGCCCGCUGGGAUACACAGACCCAAACGGGUACACAACACACACGCUCCACACGCCGAGGAGAGGCACGCAGCGCGCACACAGCUCCUUCAUGUCCGCUGCAAAACGUCUGUCUGGCCUUGUUCGCACCAAGAGGGGUCAGAGGUCAUGGAAGGCCCGGCAGGCCGAGGCCAAGGGCAGCCCGCAGAAGAGCCCAGGGGGGAAGGGGGCGCC
Molecule: long non-coding RNA, 1062 nt
Filed under: Ictidomys tridecemlineatus (thirteen-lined ground squirrel)
Lineage: Eukaryota; Metazoa; Chordata; Mammalia; Rodentia; Sciuridae
Description: lncRNA (ENSSTOG00000033574.1)
Source: RNAcentral